RNAcentral lists this long non-coding RNA (31729 nucleotides) under Citrus maxima (pomelo). RNAcentral's name for it is "long non-coding RNA (CMAX_LNC001887)". Lineage: Eukaryota; Viridiplantae; Streptophyta; Magnoliopsida; Sapindales; Rutaceae. The record is from RNAcentral.
CCGAACAAUAUGUUAUCUUCAAUAUUGCCACUCUGUAUCCAAGGUGACUGAGCAACAUAGGCCUUUGUACCGCACAACUUCAGGGCACCGGAUAUCUUGGGUACUUCUCCCAAAAUACAAGAAAGUAAGCUUGAUUUCCCAGAGCCAACAGUACCACAAAGUGCAACCCUCAUGCCAUGAAACACUUUCAAAUUAAUGUCUUUCAAUGUUGGAACAUUGGACGAAAUAUCCCAGGCAAAAUUCCCAUCAACUAUCUCAAUUGCUGUUUCAGAACUACCACUGGGAUGCAUCUCUACAACAUCAGACUGCAAGUCAUCAAGACAUAGGAAAGAAGCAAUUCUGUCAAGGGAAACCUUAGUCUGAAUUAUCAUUGAAAUUGUUUCAGGAAGAUUAUUUAUAGCCUGUUGAAGAAUCCGGAAUGUCGCAAGGGCAGAUAAGACCUUCCCUGACUCUAGUGGGAUUCCCAAAAGCACACAAGCACCGAAGGUGGCAGCAGACACAAAAAUGGGGGCACUCCGAAUGACAAAACCAGUCACUGACCCAGUGUAAAGAAACUUUUUUAGCCAUUCAGCCUCAGUCUUUCUGAGAUCAAUAAUCUUCGACAAAAACUUCAUUUCCCAGCCCUGGAGCUUGAGGAUUCUCAUGUUCCUUAAAAUCUCAGAAGUUGCCUUCAUUCUUUUACUUUUUGAUUUCAUCAACUUGUCCUGAAAUUUCACUUGCAAUCUACCCAAAGGAAAGUUCACUAACAUAACUAACACCGUAGCAGAAAAUGUCGCAAUCGAUGCUAGCCCAAGACUUUUAUGCAAGAUCAACAUGGCCAAAGAAACUUGCAAGAGGACCAACCAUGAAUCAUGCAUACGCCAACUGAAGUCACCAACCCUCUGAGCAUCAAUGGUCAUGAAAUUAAUGACUUCCCCACUAGUGUGCCUCUGCUUCGCUUGACAUGAAAGGGUCAAACACUUAUUGUAGACCAUUGCAACAAGCACUGAGCGCAUCUUAAUUCCGGCCACCUGCAGCCGAAAUAUCCACUGUGUGAAGGAGAGGCUCUCCACAAGCUUUGCUGCAAAAAAGGUAGAAACCAUAACAUAUCCCUUAUGUUUGAAUUCCUGCUCACCAUUCAGGUAUUUAACGAACGAAUCAAUUAGAUAUGGACCAACAUAAUUGGCCAAUGUGUAUAUGAGAGCUAGUACUGCUGUAAAGACAAUCUCUUUCCACGCAGUGAAGAACAAUGCCUUCACCAGCUUGAGUGUAGUAACUCUAUUCCCCACAACACUAUCCGCCGCAAGCACAUUCCUAAACUUUGGAAAGCCCUGCAUUACACUAUCACCACUAUCUAAUUGAGGAACGUCCUCACGGUCUAAAAUUUUCUUAUUUCCAACAGCAAUUAGAGAACCCAUCCAAGAGAAAGUGACAAUACUAAACAGACCAGCAUUUGAAUAAGGAGUUACAAUAUUAGCCUUUUCGGACUUGAUUGAUGACACUUCGCCAUUAUUUAUACUAGAAUCAACAUCCAAAAGGGGUUCUUGCAGGAGGAGGGUAUCUUCACCUUCAAUUUUCUUCAAAAACCCCGUAUAACAGAAAAACAAUCCACUAAUAACCGAGACAACAUCAGACACUACAUAAUCAACUGGUAAAGAGACAUGCAUUGUACAAAGAACAAUGUCAAUGACAAGACAAUAACAAGAAAAACACAAAUAAAAUCCCCACCAAAGUCCCAAUAAAAAUGGGAACUUCUGUUCACCAGAAUUAAAGAACUGGGUCUGCAAAUAAACCCAAAUUGCUCCCCAUCCAACUGUCCUGAGCACUAAGUCAGCAAAAGCAACUAGUUUAUCUUCGGACAGUCCAUUUUUAAACCAAAAAGAGUAGUUCAACAGACUCAACACAAGAUUGAACGCUGAAACACCUAAACAACAAAACAGAAUCAGCUUAUACCCCGAACAGUUGUUCCUCACACUCUCUUUGGACCCUUCACAUACACUAACACCAACUUUCAGCUUUUUCCAAACCCAUGAGACAAGCAACCCAACUAUCAAAACUAAGUGCCAAGAACCAGAAAUACCACGAAGGAAAGCUGGUUUAAGAAGAAAAUCAGUAGCUGAAUACAUAACGGAAGAUGAGUUUGCAAAGAUAGUUAGCACUAGUUCCAUUGCAGUAUCAAAAGGUUCCAAGUUUUGAGGAGCUUGUUUUAAAAAAUGAAUGUGCUUUGAAGUGUGGAAGUUAUAUAUGUCAAGUUAAAGGGAACUUGUUCUUGCACACACACAUAUAUAGAUACAUGAAGUCACAAAAUGAGAAAGACAAAGGUACAUUUGUUGGGGAAGAGUUGACGUGGAGACCAAGACUGAAUUGGCAAAAGUUGAAAACAUACAAGGCCGCGGCUAAGUUCCAUGAAUCUGUAACUAACAAACAUGCAUUUUGAUUGGUUGGAUUUAAAGAAUGAAAUUGGACGAUUGGGAUUAAUGGCUAGAGUAGAAAUCAAUUGUGGGCAACUGGUCUUUAACAUUUAGAAGAGUUUAUUUCCGUCUACACCCCCAAAUGUUCUGACAAAUGCCAGUAGCCACGCAUUUGUUUUUGAUGUAUACACACCCAACCUACUACUUUGCUAAUAUUAGAAUUAAAAGACCAUGAUGCCUCUCAAUUAAAUUAAUUUGAUUAGGUAAAAGACCUCUUAUAAAUUUUUAAAAUAAAAAAAUACGAAUAUUUUAAAAUCAAAUAUAAUUUUUUAUUUAGCAAGCAGACCUUAUUCUUUUUUUUAACAAAAGAAUUCUAAAACCAAAUUUAAGUUGUAUACUAACCAACUAGUUUAUUUUAUAUUAAAUCAUUUUUUUCACUAAAAUAUCUCUUAAUAGAAUUACUUAUAGAGACGUGUCAGUAUUAAAAUUACUUCAUAUUUCAACGUCUAUCUAUUUAAUCCAGUGCGAACUUUUUAGUUUGUAUUAAAAUAAUAAACUUGGUUAGAGAAAUCAAAUUCAAAUUUACAGAUAAAAUAGUUUAUUGAGCUUACAUGCAUUGUAUAUCAAAAUAAUUUUUUUAUGGUUUUAAUGAAAAGCUUGUGUGAAAAGAUGGAACUACCUCUUGACUUUUUUUUCGUAGAGUUUAUGUAAAAUUAAAAAAAAAAAAACACUUGUUGAUCCUUUGCAACCUUUGGAAGGGAUGUUUAAGAAUAUGCAAGUUCUUCUUGUCCUUUAGAAAAAGAAUAUUUAGCACAAAUCACAACCAAGAAAACCGAUUUGAUGGUUCAAAAAGGAUUUAAUUGAGGAUGAUUAAUUGAAAUUUAUCUUUGCAUGUUGCAAACAUUCUUCAAUUUAACAAAGUUAAGUCUCUUCAUUAAAUCAAUUCAAGAACAAUUAGAAAAAUAUUAAUGUACAUAAAUUCUAUUAAGGUUUAUUUUUGGAAUUCUCAAAGUUAUAGAUAAUAAAUAAAUAAAUUUUAAAUUUUAGUUAUGAGUUUAUCUAGAAACGGAUUUAGAGAGGAAUCUAAGGGGUUCAAACAGUCCAUCCUUCUUUUAAUUAUUGGGUGCUAGAAAUAUAUGUAGAGUAGUGAUACAAUUACAAACUCUUUUCUACAAACUAUGUUAUAUAAAUUAAUGUGGCAUCACAUGAAAUAUUGAAAGAAGACAUCACUUAGCCUACAUGAUAUAAUCUUUAUUAUUUAAUAUUUUCAUUCAACCAAUCAUAUUAUGUCAUAUAGUAAUUUUCAUAUAAUGUAAUAUUUUUAUUAUUUAACAUUUUCCUUCAACGAAUCAUAUAGUUUGUAUAAGAGUUUGUAAAUAUAACAUUACUCAUAUAGUAAUUGCGUAAAUGGACAUGUUAUUCUCUUGCAAAAUCAAUCUAAUAAAAAAAAUACCAAAGGUUAUAUUUGUCCUUUUAUCAAUAUUUAGCAGAUACAUACAAUUAUCGAUCAAUAAUUAUUGACAGUUUAAGGUAACUAAAAAACUAAUUGUGUGGAGGUGAAGUAAUAGAUUUUUGAAUUAUUAGGAGUUGAAUAAUAGUAGAUUUAUUUGGGUAUAUAGUGAAAUUUUUCCUGAUAUUCACAUAAAGUAAAAUUCAAUUUUUUUCAUUAAUUACACCGUUAAUUUAGCCCAGUUUUAGUCUUUUUCAAGAAUGAAUUUCUAUCUAUUUACGCUAAAUCUUAGAUUUAUUGACAAACAAAUUUAUUUAUUUACUUACGUUGACCUAACAUUUAAUUCAGGGCAAUAAUGUCUCUGUGUUGGUCAACAAUGUUCAGCAGUUGCGCUUAACCACACAGAGCAAGCAUUUUGGGGUGGGUUGAUGAACUUACAUUAAAUUUUGGGGUACUGAUGAUUAAUAACAAUGAUGGAGGUUAUAUGUAAUUAAUCCCUGUAAGUCUUGCUGGUUUUACUUAGGUUUCUUUGUAGUAUUUGUUCUUGGGACGGAGAAGUUUCCAUUCAUGGCAAAAGGGGGCUUUGUCUAGAAUUAAUAAGAGCAGAUGUCACACAUCUGUAUACGUGGCAGUACCUUAUUUGUUACUUGUCAAUUCAAUUUCUGUUAAAAGUACGAUUUCUUAAUUCACAGCGUGACAAAAGAGAGGUCACAUACUGCAGCUUUAGUCAAUGGCAAAUAUUUUCUUUAUUUUUAUUGGUGCGUUUGGUGGUAAGGAAGGAUGUUUCCUUUCCACUUCCGAAUGCUCCCACCAAUGAAUAAAACAAAAUUGGUGACAUACUGAUUGCCCACGUUUGGGUUUCACGUGCGUGAUGAGCAAGGAGUCAAUAGACAUUAUAUUAAUAUUGUCUUUUUCUCUCUCUCUUUUUGUUUUUUUUUGCCCUUUUCUUGGGAGCCAAGCAAGGAAAAACGUUGUGGCCCUACGGUCCCGCCAAUUAAUCCGUGCAUAUAAUUAAAAAAUCAACCCUAUGAGAACUGCUGUUAUAAGAGAAUGUUUUGUCAUUUUUCUUCAAUUCUUGAAUUUAUCAAUAAACAACUUUGACUUUGAUUAUGUUUAUGAUUUUUUUUUUUUUAGUUAUUUCCAACAUUUAAUGUUAAGAGCUAUAAUUUUAAUGAGUUAAAACGAAAUUAGUAAAAAGCUAAAAAUAAAAAAUGACGAAUAAAAUUAUUUUUCUUGUUUUGCAAAAGUAUUUUUUAAUUUUUACAAAAGGAUUAAUUUAAGAUAAGUUUAAUGCAUAUAAUAUAUUAGUUACUAACCAUUCUUAUUCCAAUCCAAUCCGAUGACAAACCAAACACAAUAUAAUAUUAUAUCUAAUCUAAUUUAAUUUUAUCUUAAUCUAUUAUAUCUUAUUCUAUCACAUCUUUUAUAUUAGUGAAAGGUAGCUGGAAAGGAAAGCCAUGCGGCGCGACUCGAAAUUGUUACAGUGUUAUUAUGAAAUAGAAAUAUCUACAGCACUUCCAUGGACUCUGCAAGGGAAAAAGGAAACAAGAUUACAAAAGGAUCGCUCAAAAAGGCCUUGGGCAUUAUUGCAGACUUGGCACAUAGGUCUGACGGCUUUUUCUUCGAACGACUUAGCUUCCGAUGCAAUGCCUGCAAAUCUGUCAGAAUAUAUGGACAAUUUCAUUUGCGGAAAAAAAAAGGAAAAUUCGUAAAAAGAAAAUAUAAAAAGAAAACCCAAUAAAAUCAAGAUUGUCAAGGGAUUUUAGUUUCUUAUAUUUAUGUACUAUUAGAAGAAAAAAUGAGGGAAGAGUUUUUAUGGACUAAGAAUGUUGCAUCCCAAAUAAUAUCAAUAGUUUUUUUUUUUUUUUUUUUUUUUUUUUUUUUUUUUUUUUUUUAAAGUAAGGGGUUGGGUCAAACCCAAAUAAUUUUUAGUUUCUCCUUACUUCCCCCAAGACUCGAACCCAGGAGUCAGCUGCUAUAAGCUUCAUGCUGUUACCAACCCGACCGCACAAUAAUUUACUUUUGAAUCAUUCAUUCAAGGAAAGGCAGCUAUGCAAUCCUCUACUACAAAGAACAGUUACUUCAAAAUUCAGAUUCAUUUACAACUCUUCAACAAUGCAAAAUACACGAAACACCGCAGCCAUCAAUGCACACUAUUCAUUAUUUCUAAAACUGAAAAUCAACAUAUAGAAACUAUUUUUUCACAGGAAACAGAGACACUUUUAUUACCUCAAGCAAAGAAAAAUACACAAUUUUAUUACAAGCACUGCAUUUGAAUCACUUAGCCACGAAAAUUUCACUACCAGUUUGUAGUGUGACAUGGUCGAAGUCUUCCGGAAAAACUCAAUUUUCAUCAUCAUCAAGAAACUAAGCAAAAUUGUGUUUUGCAACGGUAUGGCUUCAAUUUCUGCCCGCUACUCUAAACUGGAGCUGGACCUGGACCUCUGUGUGUACUCUGCAACAAGUUGUGCAAAAGAUGAUGACUUGUUCUCUAGCAACUUUGUUGGAGAAUUGUAUUCCUCGAUAAUCCCUAGACCAAAAUAUUCAAAAAUUAAAAAAAAAAGGCCAAGGAAUUUAUUUGGAACAUAUUAUAGAUUACAUAACAAUCCUAACCAUGACUCAGAAGCAGAACCAUGUCACUAUCAAUAACAGAAGUUAUCCGAUGUGCGAUGGUUAUGACUGUGCAGUCAGAAAAGUGUUGUCGAAGAGUUUGCUGAAUCAGAUUAUCGGUAGCUGUGUCAACAGAUGCUGUAGCUUCAUCAAGCACCAAUACUUUACUUUUCUUGAGUAGAACACGCCCAAGACAAACCAGCUGCCUCUGGCCCAUGCUCCAGUUCUCUCCAUUUUCGGUAACUGCAUCAUCCAUUUGAAUAUAGACAACUAAAUUUCUACCAUAACUAAGUAUAAAAAUUUUACUUGGGAAAAUUCAAGUGAAGAGAAGAAAAGACAGACCUCUUGAAUCUAGCUUUCCUUCUUUGUUUCUAACUUCAUCCCCAAGUUGGCACUUAUCCAAAGCCUAGAAAAGAAAAAUUUAUAGUUAUUUUAGCAAUUAGCAAAUGCAUCCCAAUCUUCAACGAUUGAGUCUAAAAACACAGCACGCUAGAUUUAGGAAUAAACAUGGUUAUCAUAGCUUCUUUCUGAAAUCAAAUUAAUAUGAACCCACCUCCCAAAUUUCCUCAUCUUUGUAUUCUUCAAGAGGGUCCAGAUUGUUACGUACUGUUCCUUCAAACAUGGUUGGAUCCUGAGGAAUGAUGCUCAGUCUUGAUCGCAAAUCAUGCAGUCCAAUUGAUGAGAUAUUGAUGCCAUCUAUCACAAUUUCACCAGCUGUAGGUUCAACAAUCCGGAACAAUGUCUGAAUGAGAGUUGAUUUACCACUGCCAGUUCUCCCUACAAUGCCAGUUUUCAUCCCUCCUGGGAAAGUGCAUGUGAGACCUCGCAACACAAGUGGCAAGUGUGGAGCAUAACGGACCUAUGCCACAACCAUAAUCAUUGAUUAUGAAAGCAUCAUAAAAGGAUAAGAGAUGUAAUCAUAUAGAACAAGCAAAUAUACCUGUAGAUUAAGAAUGUCAACUUCUCCAUGUGUUGGCCAGGAACAGUCAGGCCGACUCUCUUCUAUCACAAGCGGGGGCUCACUGGAAAUACACGUAUACUGAAGUAUUCUCUCAACCGAUAUAAUCUUGUUCUCUAAAUUGCAAAGGUUCCAUAUUACCCAAGCUUGUAACAUAUUUAGGUUGAGUCCAUAUGUGACAGCCAAACCCGCAAUUGCUAGAGGGUAAAAAAACCACAACUUUUAACUCUCUUUCAUUAUUUACUCUCAAUAGCAAUAAGGAAUAGUAAGUGGUUAACCAUGUACCUGGUUCAAUUACUCCCUUUGGGAUAGAGAUUAAUAAAACCAAAGAGAAGGCAAAUGUGAGAGAAGACAACAUAUCCAGGCGGAAGCAAAGCCAUUCCAUUGCACCAGCAAUAUGGAAUUUGGGCCGAGAAUAUCCAUCUACCAGCUUCAUAUUUGUGUCUCGAAACCUUGAUUCUUGAUCAAAGCUCCUGAUAGUUGUUGAACCCGAAAUUGUUUCAGAAAAAUGUUGUAUCACUGGUGCUUUGCAUACUCCAACCAACCGUGAAAGUUCUCGUGCUGAAGGUAUGUAAUAUUGCUGGAUAAUUGUAAAAACAUGAGAAAUCUUCUUUCCAGGAAAAGGAAACUAAAAUCAAGAUAUUGAAUAUUGGAAUGAGUGGAGGACAGAAUAUAAUACAUCAAAUUAACAUUUCCUUGCUAAGUUCGAUGAGAAAACAUAAUUUAUAACCAGAUAAGCAAUCCGCCAAUAGGGGCAAAACAAAGACAGCAAUUCUAAUUCUUGACUGCUAUAUACUUUAAAAUCUUUAUUUAGAUAUGCUAUGAAUACUGCUGCAGUCCUAUGGUAAAAGCUAUUGUUGGAGAGAGAAUUUCAGAAUUCAUUUAUGCUGAUAUCUCAGAGUCAUUCACUGCUUAAGGGCCAUCAUACUUAGUUAUCCAAAAUAUACAACAUUAUAGCAUCACCAAAAGGCUCUUCCAAUGAAAGUUUACUUAUUAUUUGAAGAGCCACAGAAGCAAAAAGUGUUUCAAAAGGCUCUCCAAAUAAGAUUCUUUCAAUGAGAUUAUUCUUCUCUCUCUUCAAUAUGCAACAUUAGAGCAUCACCAAAAAUCUCUUCAAAUGAGAUUUUACUUAUUAUUUGAAGAGUAGCAUAAGCAAAAAGUAUUUAAAAAGGCUUUUCAAAUAAAAGUCUUCAAAUAAGAUUGUCCUUAAAAAGACAAUCUCGUUUGAAGAAUCUCAUUUGGAGACCCUUUUGGAGCCUUCAAUUUAGUAUUCUAUUAUUUUUUAUCUUCUCAUUCUUGAAAGGAGAGAUGUGUUAUAAUUGUUAUUAUUUUGGUGGAAAAAAAUUUGAUCAAAAUAAAAUGAACAUAUUUUUAUUUGAAGAGCCUUUUGGGAGAUGAUUAAUUUUUUCACUCUUCUAUUUACCACAUGGGUAAGCAAAUAAGUAUUUGAAGAGCUAAAUUAGAAGAGUUUUUCAGUGAUGCUCUUAGACUGUGAAAGCAUGUUUAAUAGAAGUCUUAGGUGAUUUGGAUAACAUAAGAAUGGGCCAAUAAAUGUACAUUCUUAAUCAAGAGACCCAUUUCACAUUGAUAGACUUAAAAAAAAAAAAUCUCAUGGCCCAAUUAUUAUCACAGCAUUCUCUACCAUAGAAUUCAGCCUUCGGGGUCAACCAGACGGCUUCUUUGAGGAAGCGGCGCAAAGGAGCUCAAGGGCUUGUUAAGAAAGGCGGCAAGGGCUGACAAAGGGGGGAAAAUAAAAAGUGUUGUCUGGUUCCACCUGAGCAAUGGCUUAAUAAAGGUACAUUCUUAAUCAAGAGAUCAAUCUCACAUUGAUAGACUUAAAAAAACCAUCUUGUAGAGGACAAUAAUCAGCACAAUUUUUAUGAAAUAUGCAGUAAGCUCACUGGCAACGCAAAAAAGUUUAGGUUUUCCAACUACUUGUCAUCUUGACCAAUCAGCAUUUGAUGCACAACCUAGAACAUCUAACGCUUGCAAAAGUUGAAAAUAAAAAUUAGAAAAACGAAGAGAUAAGAGUUGAAAGAUUACCUGAUACCAGAUGCUGACAGCAAUCACAGGGAUGAAAACUAUAAAAACCUGCCAUGCAGCCUGAGACAUCACCGCGAUGAUUCCCAGAAGCUGGAUCAUUGAGAAGGCAAAAGCCCCAACUUGAGAUGCAAUGUUCAAGUCAACGGCACUUUGGUCAGUAGAAGCCUAUGAAAGAAAGCAGAUUAAAUAAGCAAUUACUUUUACUUGCCUUAUUUUGGUUCUCAGAAAAACUAAUCGACAAAAAUGAAGUGCACUAGAUUUGAACAGAUGCUAACUUACCCUGUUUAGAAGUCGUCCACUAGGUGUUGCAUCAAAGAAGGACAUAGGAGCACGGAAUAAACAAAAGUGCAUUUUAUUAAAGAGCAGAGUAGCUGUUUUGAAUCCAGCAGUUGCAAGAAGUGUAGAUCUUGCAAGGAUGCAAAAAGAACUUCCAAGGGCCAAAGCUACAUAGACAAUUAUCAGUGUGGAGCUCCCGACCGCAGGUUUUACAUCCUCUGACACUGGGGUUGCCCAAGCCAUCCAAUAAUUGCUGCCAAUUUGAAGGAUCUGAAAGAGAAUCUGAGCCAACAAUAUAAAGGGCACAAGCGCUCCUCUAUAUGCUGUUGUAAUAUAUUGCCAGUACACUGAGAAACCAACUCUCCCCUUCUCCCUCUCUUCUUCCUGAACAAGCUGCCCUUUUGGUCCUGCUACUUCGUCUACUUUAUCAGUCUGAAUAUCUUCAUUUCCUUCUUUCAUGGUAACCCCAUUAGUAGUAUCCAUACCACCAUUUUCUUUAUUCAUACUUAUCCUUUCAGAAACAGGUCCUCCCUCAAUGGAAUCAAGUGCUGAUAAAGCUUGCUGAUGUGCACCCACAAGAACCAUAAAGUCAGUACCUGAGUUUAGGAUGUCAUUGUACUUUCCAGCUUGCGUAAUCUUUCCAUCUUUCAUAACCUAAAAACAAGGUUUUGUUUAUUGUUAAGGGAUGUAUAAACAAGGGAUAUGCAAUCCAACAGAUAAAGAAAUGCAAUGUAAUUGCUCACCAAGAUAAGGUCCGCAGCAGGCAAGAACUCCACUUGAUGAGUAACAUAAAUCACCGUCUUGGAUCUUAAGAGGCCCAACAAAACUUCCUACCAAACAAAUAUUAUGAAAAAAUAAGUCUCAAAUUCUAAGUUUUCAUUAGGAAGAAGAUGAUAACAACGGAGUGAGUAGUGGUACUUGAAUAAAACCAAAUACAGUUAUCCAAGCAAGAGUCCACCCUCAUGAGUGGCAUACCUCCAGUUCCAAAUAUACCAGGAAAAGAAAAAGCAGGAAGUCCAAAAGUAAAAGCACAAGAGAGAGGAAUAGAUUUCACCUUAAAGAGGUGAGACCCAGUAUGCGCAUCAACAGCACUAAAAGGAUCGUCAAACAGAUAGAUAUCAGCAUCUUGGUAGAGAGCGCGAGCAAUCUGUAUUCUUUGCUUCUGUCCUCCACUUAAAUUAAUUCCCCUCUCGCCGAUAACUGUCUGAUCACCAAAUGACAGGAUUUCCAGAUCCUUUUUCAGGGAACAUGCUUCAAGCACUCUGUCAUACUUUUCUCUGUCCAUCGGCUUACCAAACAAAAUGUUAUCUUCAAUAUUGCCACUCUGUAUCCAAGGUGACUGAGCAACAUAGGCCUUUGUACCGCACAACUUCAGGGUACCAGAUAUCUUGGGUACUUCUCCCAAAAUGCAAGAAAGUAAGCUUGAUUUCCCAGAGCCAACAGUACCACAAACUGCAACCCUCAUGCCGUGAAACACUUUCAAGUUUAUGUCUCUCAAUGUUGGAUUAUUGGAAGAAAUAUCCCAGGCAAAAUUCCCAUCAACUAUCUCAAUAGCUGUUUCAGAGCUACCUCUGGGAUGCUUCUCUACAACAUCAGACUGCAAGUCAUCAAGACAUAGGAAAGAUGCAAUUCUGUCAAGGGAAACCUUGGUCUGAAUUAUCAUUGAAAUUGUGUCAGGAAGAUUAUAUAUAGGCUCUUGAAGAAUCCUGAAUGUUGCAAGAGCAGAUAAGAUCUUCCCUGACUCAAGUGGGAUUCCCAAAAGCAUACAAGCACCAAAGGUGGCAACAGACACAAAAGUGGGGGCACCCCAAAAGACAAAACUGGUCAUCGCCCCAGUGUAAAGAAAUUUUUUCAACCAUCCAGCCUCAAUCUUUCUGAGCUCAAUAAUCUUGGACAAAAACUUCAUUUCCCAGCCCUGAAGCUUGAGGAUUCUCAUGUUCCUUAAAAUCUCGGAAGUGACCUUCAUUCUUUUAUCUUUUGAUCCCAUCAACUUAUCUUGAAAAUUCUCUUGCAGUCUACCCAAAGGAAAGUUCGUUAACAUAAUUAAUACUGUAGCAAAAAGUGCCGCAAUUGAUGCUAGCCCAAGAUUUUUAUACAAGAUCAAAAGGGCUAAGGAAACCUGCAAGAUGACCAACCACGGAUCAUGCAUAUACCAACCGAAGUCACCAACCCUUUCAGCAUCAACGGUCAUGAAAUUAAUGAUUUCCCCACUAGUGUAGCUCUGCUUCGCUUGGCAUGAAAGGGUCAAACCCUUAUUGUAGACCAUUGAAACAAGUACCGAGCGCAUCUUAAUUCCAGCCACCUGCAGCCGAAACAUCCAGUGUCUCUGGGCAAGGCACUCCACAAUCUUUGCUACAAAGAAGGUGGAUACCAGAACAUAUCCCUCAUUUUUGAACUCCCGUUCCCCAUUGAGAUAUUGAACGAAUGUGUCAAUUAGAUAUGGACCAACAUAGUUGGCCAAUGUGUAUAAAAGCGCUAAGAUUGCGGUAAAUACAAUAUCUUUCCAAGCAGAGAAGAACAAUGCCUUCGUCAACUUGAAUGCAGUCACUUUAUUCCCCUCAACCCUAUUGGCCUCAAGCUUAUUCCUAAAAAUUGGAAAGCACCCAACUACACUAUCGCCACUAUCUAGUUGAGGAACAUCCUCAAGGUCCAAAGUUUUCUUAUUCCCAAGGGAAAUCAGAGAACCCAUCCAAGAGAAAGUAAGAAUACUAAACAAACUAGCAUUUGAAUAAGGAGUGACGUUAUCAGUCCCUCUGGACUUGAUUGAUGACACUUCACCAUUACCUAUACUAGAAUCACCAUCCAAAAGGGGUUCUUGAAGAAGAAGGGUAUCUUCACCCUUGUCUUUCUUCAAAUAUCCCACAUAACAGAAAACGAAUCCACUAAUAACAGAGACUACAUCAGAUACUAAAUAAUGAACUGAUAAAGACACAUGCUGUGCGUACAGAACAAUAUCAGUGACAAGACAGUAACAAGAAAGACAUAAAUAAAAACCCCACCAAAGUCUCAAUAAAAGUGGGAAUCUUUGUUGACCUGAAUUAAAGAACUGGGAAUGCAAAUAAACACAAAUUGCUCCCCAACCAAGUGUUCUAAGCACUAAAUCAGCUAAAGUAACUAGUUUAUCACCAGACCAGUCAUUUCCAAACCAAGAAAAGUAAUCUAACAAACUCAAAACAAGGUUGAACACUGAAACAGCUAAACAACAUAACAGAAUCAGCUUAUGCCUCAAAACCGAUUUCUUCUUAAACCUCUCCUUAUACCCUUCACUAUCACUAACCUCAACUCUCAACUUUUUCCAAACCCAGGAGACAAACAACCCAAGUAACAAAACUAAGUGCAAGGAACCAGAAAUCCCGCGAAGGAAAGCUGGUUUAAGAAGAAAUUCAGUACCUGGAUACAUUUUUGGAGGGCUUAUUCAAGUAGUCCAGUGUAUGCACGCGGAGUUAGUGGCACUUGGUUUUGUGUGUGCGGGUGCAUAUAUAUAUAUAUAUAUAUAUAUAAGAAUAGAAGGCAGAAUGAUGAAUGAGAAAGAAUAAAAGGCAAAAUGACAAAUGAGAAAAAACAAAGAUUGAUUUCUUGGGGAAGAGUUAACGUGGAGGGUAAGAAUGGAGAGGCGGAGAGAACAAAGGGCACGUUUCUUGAGCCAAAUACAUAAAAAACAAGGAAAUGAUAGGCAGUAUCUCUGAGAAAACCUGAUCGAAUGGACACAGAAGAUUUCAAUUUACUGAAAUUAUAUUUCUUUAUUUUCACAAGGAUAUUGCUGAUCAAUAAACACCAACAAUAAAUGAGUUUAAUGAUAGUAGUCAAGUCAAUGAGGUCUCCGCCCCACACCCCAAUUCAAUUGGCUCCCCGACUUGAUUGAGCAAUUAUUUAGUCUUUUUUUAAAAAAAAAAUUGAUCAUAUGUGUUUAAAUUCUGGUCGGACUGUAUUCUCUCUCUCUCUAAACACACACACACAUAUAUAUUCAAACUCUUAAUUAUUUUUAAACAGAUUUAAAAAAUCAAUAAUUUUUUUUAAUUGGUUUAAUUUAAGCUUCGUGGAAUCUAGAGCUGGUAAAAUUUGAUACGAUCCGAUUAUCCAACACGAACACGAUACGAAUAAAUAGGUAUGAAUCAUCAAAUUUAACACGAUUAUUAAAUAGGUUGGGUUCGAGUUGACACAAUUUUUUUCUAUAUUGGGUUAGGGUUGAAGUUAUUGAUCCAUUUACCAGAUCAAUGACACAUUAUAUUUUUUAUUUUAAAUUAACUUGUAGGUUCUUAUUAUCAAAACUCAAAUUUUGGACAUGAUUUUCUAUUUUUUUUUAAGGAUUAACAUAUAUACAAUAUUUCAUUUAUAAAAUUUUAUUUAAAUUUAGAACUCUAAUAAUAUAAAUAUGUAAAAUGUUACUAGAUAUGUAUAUUUUAUAAUAUUGAUAUAUAAUAUUAUUUACAUAUAUAUAAAAUUAAAACUUCAAUAGUAUAAAAUGUGUAAUAUUUUAGUGUGUGUGUAUAUAUAUAUAUAAUUUAAAUUUUGUUAAAUUUGUAAAUAUUAAGUAAGUUAUUGGGUAAUCUGUUUAUUCUCAGAUUUAGGUCUCAAAAUUUUAACAAAAUUAUUAAAUGGGUCAUAUUUAGAUCGAUAUAAAUUUGACAUGAUAUGAAACUGACACGACAUAAAUACAAUUCGAUAAUCUAUUUUGUUAAUUCUAAUGAAAUCACCCUUGGGAUAUUGUUUAUCGUUUUUUUUAAUAUAAAUUGGAGCCAUACUAUACUAUAAAAGAAAAAGUAAAGGCAUUAAAAAACUGUUUUUGGAUAAUUACAGUACAAAGUAGGAAGACUUUUUGUUUCCCAAAAUGAGCUUCCCGUCAUUCAUUAAAAAAAUAAAAUAAUAAAAUAAAAAUGAGCUUUUUAUAAAGUGGAAAAGAGGGAACAGAAGCCAGUCAACAUUACGAGGCAAACAACCCCCCAAAGUCCAACUUUUAUGUCUUUAUUAUCUUGCUGAGUUCAGAAAUUCUGAAAUUGUACGUCACAGAAACUGAAGUGACAAGUUGACAAAUAGGACUCGACUAGCUUACAGAAUCUGUAACGUACAGACUGCAGCAUCAGCCGUUGGAUGUGGUUGGAUGUGGAGUGAGAAACUGAACAAUAGAAAAUCGGAUGGUGGGAUGACGGGAGAUGUUUGUUACAGAAACUGUACCAUAGACAGGUCCUGACAAAUAAGGCAUGCCACGUAUUAUCGGGGUGUAAAGAAAAACAACAAAGUUUGGGGUUAAUUUCAUAUAAACCCCCAUUAUUAUUAUUAAUCAUCAGUAUCCCGAACUUUAACGUAAGUUCAUCAAUCCACCGCCAAAUUCUUGUCCGAUACGGUUAAGUUAAACUGCUGACCAUUGUUGACCAACGCAAAGACACUAUUGCCCUUAAUUAAAUAUUAGGUCAAUGUAAGAAAAUAACAAAUUUUAUUUUUCAAGAAAACAAAGAUUUAAUGUAAAUACAUAAAUUUCAAUUAACCAUCUUCCACAAAAUCAUUUUUGAACCAUCAAAUCGGUUUUUUGGGUUGUGAUUUGUGCUAAAUAUUUUUUUUUUAAAUUCGUAUAUUUUAUUGUAAAGAUUUAUAAGAGGUAUUUUACGUAAUCAAAUUAAUUUAAUUGAGAGGCAUCAUGGUCUUUUAAUUCUAAUUGUAGAAAAGCUGGUCGGUUGGCUGUGUAUACAUAAAAAACGAAUGGGUGGGUACUGACAUUUGUCAGAACAUUUGGGGGAGUCGAUGGAAAUGAACCCUCCUUUGUGUUUAAGACCAGUUGCCCACAGUUGAUUUCUGUUCCGGCCGCUAAUCCCAACCGUCCAGUUUCAGUCCUUAAAUCCAACGAAUCAAAAUGCAUGUCUGUUGGUCACAGAUUAAUGGAUUGGUCACACAAAAAUGGAACUUAGCCGCGGCUAUAGUUUGGUUCCCCAUCAACGAAUAAAAACAAAAAAACUGCUGACGUGUCGGUUGCCACGUUUGACUUGAGUAGUUGAGUUCGAUAUGCGUGCGGAGCAAGGAAAAUGAGGAAGCCUUAAUUUAUUGGGCGUUUUCCCGGAAGCCAAACAAGGAAAAUAACUUUUAUGGGAUCCUGAGGAUUUCCAGUUUUCCACUUCAAGAUUUUAUUUGGAAUUUUCCGAGAAAAUUUGUCGCCGUGAUUAGUGAGUGCCUAAGGUCCACAGAGUGAAAGCUUGAGGCACACGCAAAGAGGUUUUUGCAAGUGUUACUGGCAUGAAAUGGACUCAUUUUGAUGUUAAUUAUUCCCCCUAAUACAAUUGAUGCAGUUUUCCGAACACGUGUUUGACCAAUUUGGCGAAAGUGUUACCUCAUUUCCAUCCCAACGUGUUUAACAACCAUUCAUUGACUUCUAGUUUCUAAGAACAAUUCACAUGAGGCAAAUGAAUGGUUGUUAUAAGUCACUAACAGUGAUGAAGUGAUUUUGUCUUUCAAAUAAAUACGUUCACAAGAAAUAUAUAUAUUUUUCUCUUUUCUCUUUUAAAUAAUUAAAUAUAUAGUUAACAGAUAAAAAUAAAAAAUAUAAAUUUUUAUAUAAAUUGACUUAACGUGACACGUUAUAUAAAUCGUCACAUGUCUCUAAUUCUUUUAAGUUUUAUUUCUUUUGCAAAAUAUGCGUGUAGCGUGAUAAUGGUAUGACAUUUCUCAAAAGAAAAAUUCUAAAGAAAGAGAAAGAUGAGAGAAAGUGUGUUGAAAAAAAAAAAAAAGAGAUAGUGGAUUAGGUAGAAAGAGAGUAAAAUUCUCUCAUCUUUAUCUCUCUUGAUCAUUACUCUUUUGAUUUUUGAUCUAAAUGAUUGGUUCAUUUUUUUCCAAAUUUUAUUACUUUCAUGCAUUUGCUGCUUUUACAUUGUUGCUUUUAGUUUUUCUUCUUCUUCCUGUUUUUUUCCCCACCUGUUAUGAUUUAUCUUUAUUUUUUGAGGGGGAAAAAAUAAACAGAAGGCAUUUUGUUUUAUUAUGAUUUAAUCAUUUUGAUUUUUGAUCUAAAUGAUUGAUUCAUUUUUUCCAAACUUUAUACUUUCAUGUAUUUGUUUUUCCAUUGUCCACCUGCUUUUAGUUUUUUGUUCCUUUCCUUUUCCCCACUUGGUAUGAUUUAUCUUUCUUUUUCAAAUGAUAAAAAGAAAAAAGAAAGAAGAUUAAAACAUUUUAUUUCAUUAUGAUUUAAUUUUUUAAAUAUUGAUUCAAUAUAAGGGUUUCAUCACCUCUCAUGUAUUUCAAGUACUAUUAUUCUCUUUUAUAUUGAGCAACCACUUUUGAGUUAUAGUAAGCCAACCCCCUCAAUAUAAACUUACGUAAAUUAGGCUCAUGAAUUUCUUUUUUAAGAAACUUACAAUUACCAAAGACAAUUUCGGGAAUCAAUUUGAAAUUCUAGAAUCUUUUCAUAAUGCAGAUGUGAGAUAUCACGGCCCUAAAUUACCAAAAAAAAAAAAAAAGGGCGAUCGCACGGUCGCACCCAAGUAAAAAUUAUUAUUGAAAUCUGAUUUAAUUAAUUUAAGGUAAUUAAUUAUUAUAAAAUUAGUCCUAAAUAUCUGAAGAGUUUGCAUGACACAUUGGAAUCUUAAUUACAUAUUCGAUUUAUUUAUAACGAACUUUCUUGAGCAACAUUUAUCGGGAAAAAGAAAUAUGGAAAGGAGGAAAUCAGGACUCUUCUUGGAAUGUGCAAUGCUUUUUUCGUUGAAUACAAUAUUUUGUUCAACCGUAGCAUCUAUUUCUACUGCAAAUUUUGGAAUUUCUUGGAAUCCAAGCAAGAUUUAUUGAGCGAUGAGCCCGCGAUUCGCAUUGCCUCCUACGUGACGAAUUCUGAACAGUGAAGUCAUUCAUUAAGAGACAGAGCAGCUAUUGCGGGUGUGGAUUUUGAAAUAUUCAAGAAGAUAAGAGAUAUGAAAUAUUAUUUACGAUUGGCACCUCGAUAAUGAAUAAUUAAUCUUCAUAUAUGAUAAUGAAUGAUAAAUGGCACAUCAUUUCAAUAUAUAUAUAUAUUCCGGCUUCACAUGUAGAGUAUUAUUGAAAAUGUAAAAGGCUAAUCAUUUAUUUUUGAAAGUAAUUUAUUAUUAUUAUUUUUUUAAACAUGAUAAACAAUCCCUUGGAUAUUAGGAUAGAGUGAUGCUAAACUUUUCAACGAAUAUUUUAACUUUUACAAUCUUAAAUAAAGUGACAUUCGUUUAUUGGCCGAAGAGAUUAAGCACUAAAUAGCUCUAAACUUGCAAUACUUUUGCGGAUGUUACCGGAAACUGCAAUACGGUGGAAGGCAAAUCUGUUCCUGUCUUAAGAAUGAACAAGGCAGGAGGGGCAGAGAGCCUCCGAACAAAAAUUUAUUGUCUUGGAUUGUCAGAGCCUCUUUCGGUGACCACUGGUGAAUGAAAUGCUUCUCCUAUUGUAAACAUUUGAUCUGCAGUUGGAAUAUAACGUCAGAGUCAGAAAUCAAGCAGUACACACCAUCUGUAAUGACACAUGCCUAGAAAGCAAUGACAAUAUCAAAGUCAAAACGAGCCUGAAACUCAAGUUUCUUAGUCGUCAAGCAACUUAACUCGGCUCAAUUUCGUUUGUUAAGCUAUGGCCUUCAAUUCCCAGCUAAACUGGAACUGGACCUCUGGGUGUACUCUGCAACAAGUUGUGAAAAAGAGGAUGACUUGUUCUCUAGCAACUUUCUUGGGGAAUCAUAUUCCUCGAUGAGUCCUACAAGAAUAUAUUUUUAAAAUGUUAUUUAUAUUCGAUGAUAAGCAGGCUAUAAAAGGAAUUGGACAUACUGACCAUGACUGAGAAGCAGAACCAUAUCACUGUCAAUAACAGACGUUAUCCGAUGAGCAAUGGUUAUGACUGUGCAGUCAGAGAAGUGCUGCCGGAGACUUUGUUGGAUCAGAUUAUCAGUAGCAGUGUCAACAGAUGCCGUAGCUUCAUCAAGCAUCAAGAUUUUUCUUCUUUUCAGUAGCACACGGCCAAGACAUACCAGCUGUCUCUGGCCCAUGCUCCAGUUCUCUCCAUUCUCAGUAACUGCAGCAUCCACAAGACCAUAUAUAAAGGAAAUUCUGAGUUGCAAGUAAAAUUUGGAAAACUUCACUACAGCUCAUACAAUAGCAUAGGAAAAAACACAGACCUUUUGAAUCUAGUUUCCCUUCCUUCUUCCUAACUUCAUCUCCAAGUUGGCAUUUAUCCAGAGCCUAAACCAUUUCAAGAAAUAUUAGCAUAAUCUAUCUUCCAUCAUCAAUUGCAAGCCUGAAAACACUGCAAAAGCUUAUUCCUACCUCCCAUAUUUGCUCAUCCGUAUAUUCUUCAAGAGGGUCUACAUUGCUUCGCACAGUCCCUUCAAACAUGACAGGAUCCUGGGGAAUAAUGCUUAGUCUUGUCCGCAAAUCAUGUAGUCCAAUCAAUGAGAUAUCGAUGCCAUCUAUAAGAAUCUGACCAGCAGCAGGUUCAACAAUCCGGAACAGUGUUUGAAUGAGAGUUGAUUUACCACUGCCCGUCCUCCCUACAAUACCAGUUUUCUUUUCCCCUGGGAAAGUACACGAGAUACCUCGCAACACAAAGGGCAUGUGUGGUGCAUAGCGAACCUACAUCAUAACAGCAAUCGUUGUUAACUCUAAGGGUAUUUGGGAUUUAGAUCUUGGGCUUUUAUUCCAUAACUGUUUCAGAAUGGAGAACUCAUUAUCAGUGGGUAGAUUUUAAACAUCACUAACAGCCAACUAAAAGUGGGUGUUUACCAAAUACAUUAGUUGGCGUGCUUUGAAAAAUAAGCAAAAGCACAACAGAAACAAAAACAUUCACAAAAGUUGUUAAGCAAGUAAAAUGACCUGAAGAUCACGCAGGUCAAUCUUCCCAUGUGAUGGCCAAGAAUGGUUGGGCCGACUUUCUUCUAUUUCGAGCGGGGGCUCACUAGGAAUACAAGUAUACUGAAAAAUUCUCUCAACUGAUAUAAUCUUGUUCUCCAUUUGGCAAGCAAGCCAUAUUAACAUAGCUUGUAAGUUAUUUAGGGUGAGUCCAUAUGUCACAGCUAGGCCAGCAAUUGCUUCAGAAAAGGAAAUGAGAAAAAAAAAAGCUGUUUCAUGCUCCUUUACUAAUUAUUUUUAGUUGCAAGAAGGAUUAUCAAUGACACCAUAUGUGAACUGCUAACCUGGAUCAAUAAAUCCCUUCGGAAUGGAGAUUAAGAAAACCAAAGAGAAGGCAAAUGUGAUGUUAGACAACAUAUCCAGGCGAAAGCCAAGCCAUUCCAUGGCAGCAGCAACAUGGAAUGUUGGUCGAGAAUAUCCAUCCAUCAGUUCCAUGUUUGUGUCUAUAAACCUUGAUUCUUGAUCAAAGCUCCUGAUAGUGGUUGACCCGGAAACAGUUUCUGCAAAAUGCUGUAUUAAUGGAGCUUUGCAUACUCCAACCAGCCGAGAAAGCUCCCGUGCUGAAGAUAUGUAAUAUUGCUGCAUAAACUUGAAAAAGUAAGAAAACUUCUACCCCAAAAUUGGUCUCUUAUUCAAUGAGAGUGAGACUAAAUGAAGAAAAUAUUUCGAAGAGGGACAGGUGGUUAGUGAGAACACAAUGUAUUGACACUUGCUUCUUUCAAAGUUCUAUAACUUAAAGAAAGGCAGUACAGUGAGGACCAAGAAGAUAUCAAAGCUCGAAGUAACUCCAUUUGACUGUCGACUAACAAAUGUUGGUCUUAAACGUGCAAAAGUUGAUGUAAAAAACAUCAAUUAUUCACAUGGAAAACGAUUAAACCUAUGGAAUAGAAUACAAAAAGGCAUCAAGUGAUAAUAGAUAUUAAAUAUUUAACCAGAAUUUUGAUGUGCCAAUGUCAUAAUGUGGGCACAGCUUAUAAAGAGUUGCCAAGAGCACAAGGAUUACCUGAUACCAGAUGCAGGUAGCAAUCACAGGGAUAAAAACAAUAAAAACCUGCCAUGCAACCAGAGACAUCACACCAAUCACUCCUAGAACCCGAAUGAUUGAGAAUGCAAAGGACCCAAUGAGAGCAGGAAUGCUCAAAUCAACAGCACUUUGGUCGGUAGAUGCCUUGAAGAACAAAAGCAAAUUGGUUAAGCAAAUACUUCUAGGUAUGGUUUUGGUUUUCACAAAACUUUUAAGAGAUUCCAAUGUUGAUUCCCUAAUAAAGUUUAUUAGACAAGAACGUACUCUGUUUAUAAUUCGACCACUGGGGGUUGCAUCAAAGAAGGACAUGGGGGCACGGAAGAUGCAAUAAUGCAUUUUAUUAAAGAGCAGAGUGGCUGUUUUGUAUCCAGCCGUUGCAAGAAGUGUGGAUCUGGCAAGGAUGCAAAAAGAACUUCCAAAAGCCAAAGCUACAAAAACAAUUAAUAGCAUAGAGCCUGUAACUCUAGGUUUUAUGUCCUUUGAAGCUGGAGUUGCCCAAGCAAUCCAAUAAUUGCUGGCAAUUUGAAGGAUUUGAAAGAGCGUCUGUGCCAGCAAUAUGAAGGGCACAAGAACUCCUCCGUAAGCUGCAGUGAUAUAUUUCCAGUACACUGAAAACUCAACUUUACCUUUCUCCCUCUCUUCUUCUUGAACAAGCUGCCUUUGCGGCUCUGCAACUUUAUCUUCUCUAUCAUUCUGAACUUCUUUGUUUUCUACUUCCUUGACAACCCCAUCAGUAGCACUUGUACCAUCAUUUUCUCCAUUGGCAGAUCCUUUUUCAGAAAGAGGCCUCCCCUCAAUGGAAUCAAGCGUUGAUAAAGCUUGCUUAUGUGCAUCCACAAGUUCCAUAAAAUCAGUUCCAGAGUUUAUAACAUCAGUGUACUUUCCAGCUUGUGUAAUCUUUCCAUCUUUAAUUACCUAAAAUAUAAGAUAUAAGGAGAGUUAUGGGUCAAUGAAGUGGGGAAACACAUUCCAACAUAAAAAGAGAUGAUACUUAUAUUGCUCACCAAGACUAGAUCAGCAGCAGGUAAGAACUCCACUUGAUGAGUAACAUAUAAUACAGUCUUUGAAUUCAAAAGGCCCAACAAAACUUCCUGCAAAAUUAUUGUACAAAGGUUACCAAUGGUAUUACAUGGAUGACUUAUUACAACAAUUAAAAACGAAGGACUCAUACUCAUGAAUGACAUAGCAAACUUUAAACAUUCUACAGGGUAAAACUUCCAAGAAAAUUGAUAGCAUUAGAAACAGAAUAGAUUAUACUUUAAAGAGGUGAGAUCCUGUAUGAGCAUCCACAGCACUAAACGGAUCAUCAAACAGAUAGAUAUCAGCAUCUUGGUAAAGAGCACGUGCAAUCUGUAUUCUUUGUUUCUGUCCUCCACUCAAAUUGAUCCCUCUCUCGCCUAUAACUGUCUGAUCACCAAAUGACAGGAUUUCCAAGUCCUUCUUCAGGGAACACGCAUCAAGCACUGCGUUGUACCUUUCCCUGUCCAUCUCCUUUCCAAAUAAAAUGUUAUCUUCAAUCUUGCCACUCUGUAUCCAAGGCGACUGUGCCACAUACGCCUUUGUACCACACAACUUCAGGGUACCAGAUAUCUUGGGUACUUCUCCCAAAAUACAAGAAAGCAAGCUUGAUUUGCCAGAGCCAACAGUACCACAAACUGCAACCCUCAUGCCGUGAAACACUUUCAAGUUUAUGUCUUUCAAUGUUGGAUUAUGUGAAGAAAUAUCCCAUGAAAAAUUCCCAUCAGCUAUCUCAAUUGCUGUUUCAGAACUACCUCUUGGUUGCUUCUCAACAAGAUCAGGCUGCAACUCAUCAAGACAAAAGAAAGAGGCAAUUCUUUGAAGUGAAACCUUUGUCUGAAUUAUCAUUGAAAUUAUGGCAGGCAGCUUAUAAAUUAGUAUUUGAAGAAGCCUGAAUGUUGCAAUUGCAGAUAAUACCUUUCCUGACUCAAGUGGGACUUUCAGAAGUAUACAAGUUCCAAAUGUGAUCACAGACACAAAAGUGGGAGCACACCAAAAGACAAAGGAUGUUAUGGAGGAAGUGUAAAGACAUCUUUUCAGCCAUCCACUCUCACUCUUUCUGAGAUCAAUAGUCUUAGACAGAAACUUCAAUUCCCAUCCCUGAAGCUUAAGAAUCCUCAUGUUUCUUAAAAUCUCCGAAGUUGCCUUCAUUCUUUCAUCUUUUGAUUUCAUCAACUCGUUCUGAAAUUUCUCUUGCACCGUACUCAAAGGAACAUUCACCAGCAUAAAAAUUACCGUUCCAAAAAAUGCUGCAACCGAUGCUAUCCCAAGACUCUUGUACAAGAUUAAAAAGGACAAAGCAACUUCAAAGAGAAAUAACCACGGAUCAUGAAUAUACCAACUUAAUUCAGCAACCCUCUCAGCAUCGACAGUCAUGAAAUUUAUGAUUUCCCCGCUAGUAUUGCCUUGCUUAGCCUGAGAUGAAAGUUUCAGACCUUUAUUGUAGAUCAUUGCAAUAAGAGCUGCCCGCAACCUAAUUCCAAGCUGCUCCAACCGGAAAACAAAGAAUCUCUGGCAGAGGCACUCCACAAGCUUAGCAACGCAAAAAGCAGAAACCAAAGCAUACCCCUCAUUUUCAAAAUCCCGCUUCCCAGAGAGAUAUUGAACUAAAGUAUCAAUGAGAUAAGGGCCAACAUAAGUGGCCAAUGUGCACACAAUGGCCACUAAAGCUGUAAGAAGAACAUCUUUCCAAACGGAGCGGAACAUUGCUUUGAUCAGCUUUAGUGUGGUGAGUCCACUUCCCAAUCCAGCUUCAGUCUCAAGCUUAUUCUUAAAAGUUGCAAAGACCCCAACCACACUAUUACCGCUAUCUAAUUGAGGCACAUCCUCAAGGUCUAAAGUUUUCUUAUUGCCAAGAGCAAUUAGAGAAUUUAUCCAGGUGUAAGUAAGAACACUGAAUAGACCAGCAUUUGAAUAAGGAGUCACAGUAUCAGCUCCUCUGGACUUGAUUGAUGCUACCGUCCCUUCACUUUCACCAGAAUCUACUUUCAAAAGGGGUUCUUGAAGGAUAAGGGUAUCUUCGCCCUCGAUUUUACUCAUAAAACCCACAAAACAUGGAAACAAUCCAGUGAUAACAGAUACAACAUCAGAUACUAGAUACUGAAUUGGUAAGUUUACUUGCUUUUGGUACAGGACAAUGUCAACAAUCAGACAGUAACAAGAAAUAAAAACAUAAAAGCCCCACCAAAUUUUCAACAAUAUCGGGAGCUUUGGUUGCCUUAAAUUAAGAAACACUGUACGCAAAUAAACACAAAUUGCACCCCAACCAAGUGUUCUAACCCCAAAAUCGAAAAGGAUCACAAGUUGAUCAUAAGACCUGCCAUUUCCAUACCAAUAAAAGUAACUCAACAGACACAACACAAGACUAGACAGUGAAACAACAAAGCAACAAACCAAAGUCAGCUUAUACCACAAAGCCUUCUUGUUCUUGAACCUCUCCUUGGACCCUCCACUAUGAUCACCUUCACCAACUUUCAGCUUCUUCCAAACCCACAAUCCAAACAACCCAAGCAACAAAAAUAAGUGCAAAGAACCAGAAGCCCCACGAAGGAAAGCUUGCUUAAGAAGGAAAUCAGUCCCUGAAUACAUUUUUGAAGAUGAAAAAUGAGUGUGCUCUAAGGUUUUAUAGGUAACACAUUUAUGAAGUUAAUGGUACUUUUUUUUUUUUUUUUUUAACGUUAUAUAUGAGAGGAUUGAAGGCACAAAUGAGAGAGAAAGAGAUGGAUUUCCUGGGGAAGAGUUGACGCGGAGACUUGGACUGGAGAGGCCGAGAGAACAGAGGAUAUUAACAUAUGAGCGAGCAAUACUGAUGUUUCCAUGAGCCAAAUACAAAUAAAACAAGAAAACACUGUCAGAAGCUUCAGUUUACCAUAAAUGUGUCUCUACUUUAUUUGUAUGCAUGAGUGUGACGUCGUGUAAAAAAAGGAGCUUCUAAAUUAUAAUAAUUAUAACAUACAUUCAUGUAAAUCACAUAAAUUAUAAAAUAUGUGAUUCACAUAAAAAAUGAGUAAUGAUACAGUUACAAACUCUUGUAUAAACUUAUUUUGUACAAAUUAAUGUGGCAUGAUAAGAUUGGUUAAAUUAAAUAUCACUUGGCCCACAUGAUUUAUUUUUAUUAAUUUAUAUUUUCAUUCAACCAAUGAAUUAAUGCCACGUCAGUUUGUACAAAAUAAAUUUAUACAAGAGUUUAUAAUUGUAUCAUUACUCAUAAAAAAUAUAUAUUACAAUUAUUAUAGCUUAGCAUUUUACCGUAUAAAAUUAUAAGGACACAUUUAAUUGGAUUUGCAUUACAUUUAAGUCCUUAUUUGAUGACAUAUUGACUGUCUCGUUUCAGUAUGACUUUCUAUUGGAAUUUGCGAGGUAAAAUUGUCGUAAGUGAAUGCUAGCUAGCCGUUGGCCACAACCCAAUAAUUGCCAUGAAAUGAGUUCAUUUUAAUCAAUUGAUGAAAUUUUUCCAAAGCCGUGUUUGACCAACUUUGAGAAAGUGGCACCUCAUUUCAUCCCAAUUUUCAUUGGGACUUUUCAAUAGAUUAUUAUAUGUUAUGGUAUUUAUAUAUUUAUGUGUAAUUUUCAUUGGAAUUUUGUCAAAUUAUAUUAAUAUUACAAAAUCUCUAACCAUAUCAAAAUUUCAACAAUAAUUUUAAAAAUGCUAAUUAAAAUGUCCUUCCCUCAUUUUUAUGAUGCUUUAUUCAAAAUUUAAACUAAGUAUGAUUCAUUUUGUUCAAUAUAUUUGAAAAAUCGAUACCCCAUAAAUUUGGUGGAACUAAUUGUGUUAUCUUGAAUGAUUGAUUGUUUCUAACAGUAAUGAAAUAAUUUUGUCUUAGAUCCUAAAACAAAAUAUUCGCAAGAUAAACAAAUAAUUCUGUCUUAAAAUUGCUAUUAGUUGGAUGUAAAAAAUUCUCCAGCCAUUGUUUGAGUGGAUUGCCACUGAUAAAUGUAAAGGAAUAGAGUAAUGCAGACAUUUUGAUCUAAAAGAUUGGUACAAAUUUUCCAAUUUCAUAAUUGACCUAAAUGGGAAGCUGAUGCCUCAAAUCAAUUCUAUAAUCAUUAUCCUUAGACUUUUCUUGCAUUUGAUUUUCCACCGUCCACUUGCUUUAUGUCUCUCCUUUUAUUUAUUUAUUUUCCUUCCAUUUCUAUUUCCUGUCUUUUGUAAAAUUUCUUUCAUUUCUAUUUCCUGUCUUUUCAAAUGAGAAAAAUAUUAAAAUAUUCAUUUCAUUAUGGUUAUAUAUAUACACAAAAUAUUGAAAGCUCAGACCUAUUUAAUCGGGAGGUGCUAGUUUCAGUUGUUGAACAAAAGCUAUAAUUAUAAGGAAAAGUUUAUAUUGAGUGUAUAUUGGUCAUUAUUAUUAUGUAAGACUUUUUAUAAAAAUUUUUUUUAAGAAUAAAUGAAAUUGAAAAUUAAAAAAAAAAUACUGCUCCUACAAUCCGAUUUAAUGGAGUUCUUUUAAGAAACUUAUAACCAAGGCAAAUUUUUCAAAUCAAUUUGAAAUUCUCAAGUCUUUCCGCAUUGCGAAUGUGUGCAUUUUAUAAUAUAUUUGUAUUUUAUUGUUAUGAAGAUCUUAAAUAAAUAUUUGGGUCACAAAAUUAACAAAGCAUAUGUCGAAUAUUAAUAAUAUUAAAAUUAUUUUAUAAAAUAUUGAUAUUAUAUAUAUAUAUAUUUACUUAAUGUUAUAUUUUUAUUUAUUAUAAAAUAUUAAAGUUAAUUUUUUUUAUUAUAAAUAAUAUAAUAAUAAAAAGGCCUCUUACUAUCUUUUAUUGAAAACUUGAGGAGUUCGUAACUAAAUUUUUUUUUUUUUUUUAAAUUUAGGGGUGUAACUAUCGUUUUUGCUGAAAAAUAUGUAUUAGAAACAAAUUGGAGCUCUUUAAUAAAAAUAUUGAAAUCUGCAAUGUUUUCUCAUAGAAGAGUUGUGCAAUAUUUUGUUCGACCAUGAGCAAUUAAUUAGGAUAUAGCUUCUUACCUCUGCGAUAAUACUCCUGCAUGCUCGACGACGUAAUUGUUUUGCAGUGGUUAAAAGACCAUGACCUUUUUCUGUAAUGAUGCUUUGACUUUGUGGGAUAGUCACCACUUUACACUCAAUAGGAAUUUAUACGAGGGCUCUUGGAAUUGGUCCAAAUAUUUGGUUCUCUUAGCUAUGAAUGAUCAUCUCUUGUGACUAUUUUACUUUUUGAUCGAUAAAAGUUUUUAUAAAAGUUUGCUGGGGUAAAUUUUUAUAAUAUAGGCUGAGUGGUUUGAUAUAUAUAUAUAUAUAUAUAUAUACACCUCAAUUUCGGUAUCAUUACCUUGAGACUUUCAUUUUAUAAUUGGUCACGGCUUGCUUUCUUUUCUUUUCUUUUCUUUUUCUCUCUCUCUAUAUAUACAAUUAUCUUUCGUUUUUAAGUGAGAAUAAAUAUUCUCUAGUAAAUGCUUUGAAAUCUAGAAUCGCUCUGUUAUGCAGACAUUUGUAUUUUAUAAAAUUACGAACUUGAAGGAGUUGUUAAUAACUGGUUAAUAACGAUGAGAAUCACAAUAUCCUAAUAAUUUUUUUUUUUUAAAAAAAGUGCUUGAAAUUGCCAAAAUUAAAACUUAACUUCAUGUAAUUCUAAAUCCUAAUGGAGAAACAUGAAGCUAUGAUAAUUAUGAUUACAAAAACAUAUAUGGAUGAUUCUCUAUCUUCGCAUUGGUUGCUACAGGGUCCAAGCAAAAAAUGUCAAUGAGAUUAACCAGACCCGGUUCCUUCAUUCGAAUACAUUCUCUCGAUCAACUUUGACAGUUCUUCUACCUUGUUUGAUCCCAAUGAUUGCAUUCUUUGUGGUACUCAACAGCUCCUAACUUGCAAAAUAUUCGCAGAUGUUUCAGAUAAAUGCCACUUGGUGCAAAGUCAAUCAUUUACGAUGAUACGAUGAGUCAGGUAGGAGGAGGAGAGAGCAUACGAGCAAAAAAUAAUGUCAUGAUUUUUGGAACCUCUUUUAGAAAUCUCUGGACUCUGGGGAAGAAACUAUUUUUGCCAUUAUGAACAUUUGAUUCUGCUGGAGGAAUGCAAUAUCAGAAUCGGAAGUCUAAGUCAAGUAGUACACACAAACUGAAAUAACACAUUCCAUAAAUACAUUAACAAUAAUGUCAAAACGAACCUGUAACUUAAAGUUACUUAGUCAUCAAGUAACUUACCUCACUUAAUUGUGCAAUGGUAUAAGGUAUGGCCUUCAAUUCCCAGCUAAAUUCUCAAAACUGGAACUCGACCUGAGAGUGUACUCUGCAACAAGUUGUGAAAAAGACGAUGAUUUGUUCUCUAGCAAAUUUGCUGGGUUAUCAAACUCCUCGAUAAGCCCUGCAACAAGAGCUCGAAAUGUUACUUACAUCUGAUGAUGAGCAUGCUACAAAAGAAAGCAUAUAUGAAUUAAUUGGACACACUAACCAUGAUUUAGAAGCAGAACCAAAUCACUGUCAAUAACAGAAGUUAUCCGAUGGGCAAUGGUUAGGACUGUGCAGUCAGAAAAGUGCUGCCGAAGAGUUUGCUGGAUCAGAUUAUCAGUAGCAGUGUCAACGGAUGCAGUUGCUUCAUCAAGCAUCAAGAUUUUACUUCGCUUGAGUAGCACACGGCCAAGACAGACCAGUUGCCUCUGGCCCAUACUCCAGUUCUCUCCAUUCUCAGUAACUGCAGCAUUCAAAUGAAAAAAGAUAAUGGAAACUCUAGCCACAAAAAUAUUUGCAAAAAAUCACUACAUAUAACAGACUAGGGAGAAAGACGGACCUUUUGAAUCUAGCUUCCCCUCCUUCUUCCUAACUUCAUCUCCAAGUUGGCAUUUUUCCAGAGCCUAAAACCAUUUAAAGAAAUUUUAGCACAAUCCAACUUACAUCAAUUGCAAGCCUGAAAACACUGCAUAAGCUUCUGCCUACCUCCCAAAUUUGCUCAUCCGUAGACUCUUCAAGAGGGUCUAGAUUGCUUCGAACAGUCCCUUCAAACAUGACAGGAUCCUGGGGAAUAAUGCUUAGUCUUGAUCGCAAAUCAUGUAGUCCAAUUAAUGAGAUAUCAAUGCCAUCGAUCAGAAUCUGACCAGCAGCAGGUUCAACAAUCCGGAACAGUGUUUGAAUGAGAGUUGAUUUACCACUUCCUGUUCUCCCUACAAUGCCAGUUUUCUCCCCUCCGGGGAAAGUGCAUGAGAUACCUUGCAAAACAAGGGGCAUUUGUGGUGCAUAGCGGACCUACAUCACAACCGCGAUAAUUGAUAUGUAAAAAUGAUAAAAGCUAAGGGAGUGUUGGGGAUGAAGAUGCCAUGGCAUUUUACUCCAUAACUGUUGUAGAAUGGAGUUACUCGUGGUCAAAGCUAUAUGCUUUGUGGGUAGUUUGUAUGACCAGUAGAGUGGAUGUUUUCCAAACAGUUUAGUUGAUGUGCAUUGAAACUGAAGCAGAAGUACAACAAGGCCAAACAUACCGAAAACUCAUUAAGCAAGUAAACUUACCUGGAGAUCAAGCAGGUCAAUCUUUCCAUGUGAUGGCCAAGAAUCAUUCGGGCGACUUUCUUCGAUUGCAAGAGGGGGCUCACUAGGAAUACAUGUAUACUGAAAAAUUCUCUCGACUGAUAUAAUCUUAUUCUCCAGAUCGCAAGCAAACCAUAUUAAUGUAGCUAGUAAAGUAUUUAGGGUGAGCCCAUAUGUCACAGCUAAGCCAGCAAUUGCUUCAGAAAAGGAAAAGAAAAAAUAAGCUUGUUUCUUGCUUAACUAUUACUUCAAAUUGCAAGAAGAAUAAUCAAUGAUACCAUAUGUGAACAACUAACCAGGAUCAAUAAAUCCCUUUGGAAUAGAGAUUAAGAAGACCAAAGUGAAGGCGAAUGUGAUGGAAGACAACAUAUCCAAGCGCAAGCCUAGCCAUUCCAUGGCAGCAGCAAUAUGAAAUGUUGGCCGGGAACAUUCAUCCAUCAGUUUCAUAUUUCUGUCUCUAAACCUUGACUCUUGGUCAAAGCUCCUGAUAGUUGUUGACCCUGAAACAGUUUCUGCAAAAUGUUGUAUCACUGGAGCUUUGCAUACUCCAACCAACCGUGAAAGUUCUCGCGCUGAAGAUAUGUAAUAUUGCUGCAUAUACCCGAAAUAGUUAGAAAACUUCUGUUCCAAAAUUGGUACACUAUGUUAUUCAAUGAGUGCAAGACUAAAUGUAGUCACAGUGUAUUAACACAAAAAGCAAUAAAAAAAGGACCAAGAACAUGAUAAAAGUUGGGAGCAACACUAGUUUACAUUCAAUAAGAGAAAAUAUGGUCCUUUAAUUGCAAGUAACAUAAGAUGUCUCAUAAAAAAAUAUAAUAUUAAAAUGGAAAUAAUUAAAACAAUAAAAUAGAAUACAAAAAGCAGCAGGUGGUAUCAAAUAUUUGGCCUAAAAUUUUGAUGUCCCAAGGUUAUGAUGUGCACAUAGCUUAUAAAGAGUUGCAAAGAGCACAAUGAUUACCUGAUACCAGAUGCAGCUACCAACUGCUGGGACAAAAACAAUAAAAACCUGCCAUGCAACCUGAGACAUUACUGCAAGGGUUCCAAGAAUUCGGAUUAUUGAGAAGGCAUAGGCCCCAACAAGGGAAGGAAUGGCCAAAUCAGCAGCACUUUGGUCAGUAGAAGCCUAGAAGGGAAAAGCAAAAUUGAUUAAGCAAACACUUAUUGAUAUUAUCUUGUUUUUUCAAAAAAAAUUAAGAGAUGCCAAUGUUGAUUUACCAAUUGAAGUUCAAUGGCUAAGAACUCACUCUGUUUAUAAUUCGUCCACUUGGGGUUGCAUCAAAGAAUGACAUUGGGGCACGGAAAAUGCAAUAAUGCAUUUCAUUAAAGAGCAGUGUGGCUGUUUUGUACCCAGCUGUUGCAAGAAGUGUGGAUCUAGCAAGGACGCAAAAAGAACUUCCAACAGCCAAAGCUACAUAAACAAUUAAUAGUGUAGAGCCUGUAACUACAGGUUUUACAUCCUUUGUGCCCGGAGUUGCCCAAACAAUCCAAUAAUUGCUGGCAAUUUGAAGGAUCUGAAAAAGCGUCUGUGCUAGCAAUAUGAAGGGCACAAGAGCUCCUCCAAAUGCUGUGGUGAUAUAUUUCCAGUAUACUGAAAACCCAACUUUACCUUUCUCUCUCUCUUCUUCUUGUACAAGCUGACCUUUUGACACUGCUACUUCAUCAGCUUUAUCAUUCUGCCCUUUGUUAUUUUCUACUUCCUUUACAAUCCUAUUAGCAAUAACUGUACCGCCAUUCUCUCCACUUGCUCUUUCAGAAGCAGGCCUUCCCUCAGUGGAACCAAGUGCCAAUAAAGCUUGCUUAUGUGCACCCACAAGUUCCAUGAAAUCAGUUCCUGAGUUUAUUAGAUCGUUAUACUUUCCAGCUUGUGUGAUCUUUCCAUCUUUCAUUACCUAAACAUAAGGUAUGAGGACAGUUAUGGGAUAUUACAGGAAAUGCACGCCAAUAGGAAAAGAAAUCAUAUUUAAUAUUUCUUACCAAGAUCAGAUCGGCAGCAGGUAAGAAUUCCACUUGAUGAGUAACAUAUAAUACAGUUUUAGAACUCAAAAGGCCCAACAAAACUUCCUGAAAAAAUAUUACACAAAAGGUAAGUGAGGUGCCAUUAAAACUAAGGACUUAUGAAGAGCAUGGCAGACUAUACUACGAAGAGAAACUUUCACAAUUGUUAAUAUUAUUGGAUUCAGAAUAGAUUUACCUGAAAGAGGUGAGAUCCUGUAUGAGCAUCCACAGCACUAAAAGGAUCAUCAAACAGAUAGAUAUCAGAAUCUUGAUAAAGAGCACGUGCAAUUUGUAUUCUUUGUUUCUGUCCUCCACUCAAGUUGAUUCCUCUCUCUCCUAUAACUGUCUGAUCACCAAAUGACAGGAUUUCCAAGUCCUUCUUCAGGGAACACGCAUCAAGCACUGCGUUGUACCUUUCCCUGUCCAUCUCCUUUCCAAAUAAAAUGUUAUCUUCAAUCUUGCCACUCUGUAUCCAAGGUGACUGUGCCACAUACGCCUUUGUACCACACAACUUCAGGGUACCAGAUAUCUUGGGUACUUCUCCCAAAAUACAAGAAAGCAAGCUUGAUUUGCCAGAGCCAACAGUACCACAAACUGCAACCCUCAUGCCGUGAAACACUUUCAAGUUUAUAUCUUUCAACGUUGGAUUAUGUGAAGAAAUAUCCCAGGAAAAAUUCCCAUCA